RNAcentral lists this ribosomal RNA (468 nucleotides) under uncultured bacterium. RNAcentral's name for it is "partial 16S ribosomal RNA". It matches the Rfam family "Bacterial small subunit ribosomal RNA", at positions 28 to 507 of the family's 1533-position model. The record is from RNAcentral.
GACGAACGCUGGCGGCGUGCUUAACACAUGCAAGUCGAACGGAAAGGCCCUGCUUUUGUGGGGUGCUCGAGUGGCGAACGCGGGAGUAACACGUGAGUAACCUGCCCUUCACUUUGGGAUAACUUCAGGAAACUGGGGCUACUACCGUAUAGGAUCUCCUGCUGCAGGGUGGGGGUUGGAAAGUUUCGGCGGGUGGGGAUGGACUCGCGGCUUAUCAGCUUGUUGGUGGGGUAGUGGCUUACCAAGGCUUUGACGGGUAGCCGGCCUGAGAGGGUGGCCGGGCACCUUGGGCCUGCGAUACGCCGCAGACUCCUACGGGAGGCAGAAGUGGGAAAUCUUGCACAGUGGGCCGGAGUCUGAUGCGGCAGCGCCGCGGGCGGGAUGCCGGCCUGCGGGUUGUAAACAGCUUUCGGCUGUGACGAAGCGUGAGUGACGGUACUGGGUAAAGAAGCACCGGCUAACUACGUG